RNAcentral lists this ribosomal RNA (484 nucleotides) under uncultured bacterium. Its description in RNAcentral is "partial 16S ribosomal RNA". It matches the Rfam family "Bacterial small subunit ribosomal RNA", at positions 28 to 523 of the family's 1533-position model. The record is from RNAcentral.
GAUGAACGCUGGCGGCGUGCUUAACACAUGCAAGUCGAACGGUGAAAGCGGAGCUUGCUCUGCUGGAUCAGUGGCGAACGGGUGAAUAACACGUGAGCAAUCUGCCCCUGACUCUGGGAUAAGCGCUGGAAACGGCGUCUAAUACCGGAUACGAGCUGCGAAGGCAUCUUCAGCAGCUGGAAAGAACUUCGGUCAGGGAUGAGCUCGCGGCCUAUCAGCUAGUUGGUGAGGUAACGGCUCACCAAGGCGUCGACGGGUAGCCGGCCUGAGAGGGUGACCGGCCACACUGGGACUGAGACACGGCCCAGACUCCUACGGGAGGCAGCAGUGGGGAAUAUUGCACAAUGGGCGAAAGCCUGAUGCAGCAACGCCGCGUGAGGGACGACAGCCUUCGGGUUGUAAACCUCUUUUAGUAGGGAAGAAGCGAAAGUGACGGUACCUGCAGAAAAAGCACCGGCUAACUACGUGCCAGCAGCCGCCGUAA